Molecule: non-coding RNA, 191 nt
Organism: Nerophis lumbriciformis (worm pipefish)
Lineage: Eukaryota; Metazoa; Chordata; Actinopteri; Syngnathiformes; Syngnathidae
Source: RefSeq, a predicted model, not a curated record
CAAUCUUCUUGGCCGUUUGGCUAAGAUCAAGUUUAGUAUCUGUUGUUAUCAGAUUAAUAUCUGAUAUGUACCCUAUCCAGGGACCAUAUAAUAAAUUGAUUUCCGAAACAGGGAGGUAGAAUAAGGGCUUGCUCCGUACACUCUACGCAUCGACCUGGUAUUGCAGUACCUCCAGGAAUGGUGCCCGGCCU